This 497-nucleotide ribosomal RNA is filed under the name uncultured bacterium. RNAcentral's name for it is "partial 16S ribosomal RNA". It matches the Rfam family "Bacterial small subunit ribosomal RNA", at positions 28 to 507 of the family's 1533-position model. The record is from RNAcentral.
GACGAACGCUGGCGGCGUGCCUAAUACAUGCAAGUAGAACGCUGAAGCUUGGUGCUUGCACCGAGCGGCUGAGUUGCGAACGGGUGAGUAACGCGUAGGUAACCUGCCUGGUAGCGGGGGAUAACUAUUGGAAACGAUAGCUAAUACCGCAUAAGAGUAGAUGUUGCAUGACAUUUGCUUAAAAGGUGCAAUUGCAUCACUACCAGAUGGACCUGCGUUGCAUUAGCUAGUUGGUGAGGUAACGGCUCACCAAGGCAACGAUACAUAGCCGACCUGAGAGGGUGAUCGGCCACACUGGGACUGAGACACGGCCCAGACUCCUACGGGAGGCAGCAGUAGGGAAUCUUCGGCAAUGGACGGAAGUCUGACCGAGCAACGCCGCGUGAGUGAAGAAGGUUUUCGGAUCGUAAAGCUCUGUUGUAAGAGAAGAACGAGUGUGAGAGUGGAAAGUUCACACUGUGACGGUAUCUUACCAGAAAGGGACGGCUAACUACGUG